This 395-nucleotide long non-coding RNA is filed under the name Fukomys damarensis (Damara mole-rat). Its description in RNAcentral is "lncRNA (ENSFDAG00000022090.1)". Lineage: Eukaryota; Metazoa; Chordata; Mammalia; Rodentia; Bathyergidae. The record is from RNAcentral.
GGAAGUCUCAGAAGGCGAAAUGGAACAGAUGGCUCCAGACGUCUUCUGGACGAGGUUAAUUUUGUAUGCAACCCAUGCUUCUGAUGAAAAACGGAUGCGUUGAGAACCAAAUUGGUGCCUCGAGAUGUGAAUGUCAGCUUCCUAAGUUACCUUUUCAGUGUUGCCCACAGCAGAGAUGGUGGAACUUUUAUACACCAGUGCCCACUCCGCAACCCAAACCCACUUAUCAUUGCAAAGUGCCAACACUGCAGUCAAAACUGAGUACUGAAGUUUUAAUUUAGAAAAAAGCAACCCAUACAGUCACAUCUUUGUCUUAAAAGGAGAACAGUAACUCGCAUGCCAUGGGUUUGCCACCGCUGCCUGAUAGCCUGCUUCCUUACCAUAGUACUUCCUGC